Beta vulgaris subsp. vulgaris (sugar beet) is the source of this 162-nucleotide non-coding RNA. The record is from Rfam. NCBI's taxonomy places the organism in Eukaryota, Viridiplantae, Streptophyta, Magnoliopsida, Caryophyllales, Amaranthaceae.
UCACUUACCUGGGCGGGGUCAAUGGACCAUCAAGAAAGUCCAUGGCCUAGGAUAGUGGCUUCCAUUGCACUUUGUGAGGUGCGCUAGCCUAAGAUCUCCCCAAUGUGGGAGAGUCUACGUCAUAAUUUGUGUUAGUGAGGGCCUGCGUUCGCGCGGCCCUUG